UUUAUACAACGGAGAGUUUGAUCCUGGCUCAGGAUGAACGCUAGCGGCAGGCCUAACACAUGCAAGUCGAGGGGUAACAUAGAAAAGCUUGCUUUUCUGAUGACGACCGGCGAACGGGUGCGUAACGCGUAUGCAACCUGCCCUAUACUGAAGGAUAGCCCGAAGAAAUUCGGAUUAAUACUUCAUAAUAAUUAUUAAUCGCAUGAUUUAUAAUUUAAAGGUUACGGUAUAGGAUGGGCAUGCGUCCCAUUAGCUUGAUGGUAAGGUAACGGCUUACCAUGGCAACGAUGGGUAGGGGGCCUGAGAGGGUGAUCCCCCACACUGGUACUGAGACACGGACCAGACUCCUACGGGAGGCAGCAGUGAGGAAUAUUGGUCAAUGG
This 383-nucleotide ribosomal RNA is filed under the name Crocinitomicaceae bacterium. RNAcentral describes it as "bacterial SSU rRNA". It matches the Rfam family "Bacterial small subunit ribosomal RNA", at positions 1 to 374 of the family's 1533-position model. The record is from RNAcentral. Lineage: Bacteria; Pseudomonadati; Bacteroidota; Flavobacteriia; Flavobacteriales; Crocinitomicaceae.